GUCCCGAAGCUCAACUGGAUGAGCGGCCGAAUCCUAGUCGGAAGGUUGCGGGUUCGAGUCCCGCCGGGACCGCCA
RNAcentral lists this transfer RNA (75 nucleotides) under Oxalobacteraceae bacterium. Its description in RNAcentral is "tRNA-Arg". It matches the Rfam family "tRNA". From Rfam's summary of the family: Transfer RNA (tRNA) molecules are approximately 80 nucleotides in length. The record is from RNAcentral. Lineage: Bacteria; Pseudomonadati; Pseudomonadota; Betaproteobacteria; Burkholderiales; Oxalobacteraceae.